UGGAAGUAAAAGUCGUAACAAGGUUUCCGUAGGUGAACCUGCGGAAGGAUCAUUACCGAGAGUUGCAGGCUUUUGUCUGCCAUCUCUUACCCAUGUCUUUUGCGUACUACACGUUUCCUCGGCAGGUCCGCCUGCCGUUAGGACCCCAUUAAACCAUUUGCAGUUGCAGUCAGCGUCUGAAAAACUUAAUAAUUACAACUUUUAACAACGGAUCUCUUGGUUCUGGCAUCGAUGAAGAACGCAGCGAAAUGCGAUAAGUAGUGUGAAUUGCAGAAUUCAGUGAAUCAUCGAAUCUUUGAACGCACAUUGCGCCCUAUGGUAUUCCAUAGGGCAUGCCUGUUCGAGCGUCAUUUGUACCUUCAAGCUCUGCUUGGUGUUGGGUGUUUGUCCCGCCUUUGUGCGCGGACUCGCCUUAAAGCAAUUGGCAGCCGACGUCUAGGUUUCGGAGCGCAGCACAAAUCGCGCUCUGUGUCCUGGUACGGCGGCGUCCAUCAAGACUAUUUUACACUCUUGACCUCGGAUCAGGUAGGGAUACCCGCUGAACUUAAGCAUAUCAAUAAGCGGAGGAA
This 569-nucleotide ribosomal RNA is filed under the name uncultured Cucurbitaria. RNAcentral's name for it is "eukaryotic LSU rRNA". The stretch from base 197 to 350 matches the Rfam family "5.8S ribosomal RNA". Lineage: Eukaryota; Fungi; Ascomycota; Dothideomycetes; Pleosporales; Cucurbitariaceae. The record is from RNAcentral.